AGUGAACGCUGGCGGUAUGCCUUACACAUGCAAGUCGAACGGCAGCACAGUAAAAGGUUGUUAUUACGGGUGAAGAGUGGAGUAAUGCAGCGGAAUGUGUCGGGACGUAGGUGUUCGCUAGGGGUAAGGGAGGGUAAUAUCCGCUAAGACCGCAGACGAACUACGGGGGAAAGCAGGGGAUCGUCGGACCUGGCGGGAUGGAGUGAGCCGAUGUCGGAUUUGGUGGUUGGCGGGGUAAAGGCCCACCAAGGCGACGAUCCGUAGCUGGUCUGAGAGGAUGAUCAGCCACACUGGAACUGAGACACGGCCCAGACUCCUACGGGAGGCAGCAGUGGGGAAUAUUGGACAAUGGGCGCAAGCCUGAUCCAGCCAUGCCGCGUGGGUGAAGAAGGCCUUCGGGUUGUAAAGCCCUUUUGUUGGGAAAGAAACGCAUCAGGUUAAUACCCCGCGGUACUGACGGUACCCAAAGAAUAAGCACCGGCUAACUUCGUG
Molecule: ribosomal RNA, 492 nt
Filed under: uncultured bacterium
Lineage: Bacteria
Description: partial 16S ribosomal RNA
Rfam family: Bacterial small subunit ribosomal RNA
Source: RNAcentral